GCGGAUGUAGCGCAGCUGGUAGCGCAUCACCUUGCCAAGGUGAGGGUCGCGGGUUCGAAUCCCGUCAUCCGCUCUA
Molecule: transfer RNA, 76 nt
Filed under: Tsukamurella tyrosinosolvens
Lineage: Bacteria; Bacillati; Actinomycetota; Actinomycetes; Mycobacteriales; Tsukamurellaceae
Also listed under: 1 other name
Description: tRNA_Gly_GCC
Rfam family: tRNA
About the family: Transfer RNA (tRNA) molecules are approximately 80 nucleotides in length. Their secondary structure includes four short double-helical elements and three loops (D, anti-codon, and T loops).
Source: RNAcentral